GAUUGUUUAGUUUAAAUAAAACAGAUGUUUUGAAAACAUCAAAUAAGAACAUUAUUCUUAACAAUUG
RNAcentral lists this transfer RNA (67 nucleotides) under Ocypode stimpsoni. RNAcentral describes it as "tRNA-Ser". The record is from RNAcentral. Lineage: Eukaryota; Metazoa; Arthropoda; Malacostraca; Decapoda; Ocypodidae.